RNAcentral lists this ribosomal RNA (495 nucleotides) under uncultured bacterium. RNAcentral's name for it is "partial 16S ribosomal RNA". It matches the Rfam family "Bacterial small subunit ribosomal RNA", at positions 28 to 505 of the family's 1533-position model. The record is from RNAcentral.
GAUGAACGCUGGCGGCGUGCCUAAUACAUGCAAGUCGAGCGAACAGACGAGGAGCUUGCUCCUCUGACGUUAGCGGCGGGCGGGUGAGUAACACGUGGAUAACCUACCUAUAAGACUGGGAUAACUUCGGGAAACCGGAGCUAAUACCGGAUAAUAUAUUGAACCGCAUGGUUCAAUAGUGAAAGACGGUUUUGCUGUCACUUAUAGAUGGAUCCGCGCCGCAUUAGCUAGUUGGUAAGGUAACGGCUUACCAAGGCGACGAUGCGUAGCCGACCUGAGAGGGUGAUCGGCCACACUGGAACUGAGACACGGUCCAGACUCCUACGGGAGGCAGCAGUAGGGAAUCUUCCGCAAUGGGCGAAAGCCUGACGGAGCAACGCCGCGUGAGUGAUGAAGGUCUUCGGAUCGUAAAACUCUGUUAUUAGGGAAGAACAAAUGUGUAAGUAACUAUGCACGUCUUGACGGUACCUAAUCAGAAAGCCACGGCUAACUACG